UUCCUGGCUUCUUCUUGCAGAUUAGUUGAAUUCAGUCCCCCUGUUCCAUCGGUCAACUCUUUGACUUCACGCAAUUUUUCUUUGCGCCAGCUUUCAAUAGCUUCUCGCUGCUCAGUGAUAUUGGCAUUCGCGUUCAAGCUUCUCAACCGCUGCAAAAUCUCAUCAGUUAACUUCCGUCUGACCUCCAUAGGUAAUUCAACCGACUUAUCAUCUCUCUUAAGCUCCUCCUUAAGUUGCUUAACCAAUUUAACAAGCUGUAGAGGUUCAUU
This 269-nucleotide unclassified non-coding RNA is filed under the name Hevea brasiliensis (rubber tree). Lineage: Eukaryota; Viridiplantae; Streptophyta; Magnoliopsida; Malpighiales; Euphorbiaceae. The record is from RNAcentral.